Non-coding RNA from Bombyx mori (domestic silkworm), 84 nucleotides. The record is from Rfam. Lineage: Eukaryota; Metazoa; Arthropoda; Insecta; Lepidoptera; Bombycidae.
UUAACUCGAUUUUGUAUAGAGUUGGAACGUUUGCCUACGUUUAUCACUAGGGGCGAUGUUUCAACUGCAUACAAAUUUCACUUA